CUUGACCGAGCCGAGGUACAGCGGCCGCCCUUCGGGGCGCUCCUGUCCGUAGGUGGCGAUCAGCGCCUGCGCCUC
RNAcentral lists this antisense RNA (75 nucleotides) under Allonocardiopsis opalescens. RNAcentral's name for it is "ASpks TB sRNA". It matches the Rfam family "ASpks TB sRNA". Lineage: Bacteria; Bacillati; Actinomycetota; Actinomycetes; Streptosporangiales. The record is from Rfam by way of RNAcentral.